CCCUUAGAUGUUCUGGGCCGCACACGCGCUACACUGAAGGAGGCAGCGCGUACUCCUGGAUCGAAAGAUUUGGGUAACCCGCGAAUCUCCUUCGUGCUAGGGAUUGAGGUUUGCAAUUAUCCUUCAUGAACGAGGAAUUCCCAGUAAGUGCAAGUCAUAAGCUUGCGCUGACUACGUCCCUGCCCUUUGUACACACCGCCCGUCGCUACUACCGAUUGAAUGAUUUAGUGAGGACUUCGGACUGGGACCGAUGCGGCUUUCGGGCUGCGUCGGUAUUCUGGAAAGAUGUCCAAACUGUAUCAUUUAGAGGAAGUAAAAGUCGUANCA
RNAcentral lists this ribosomal RNA (327 nucleotides) under uncultured eukaryote. RNAcentral's name for it is "partial 18S ribosomal RNA". It matches the Rfam family "Eukaryotic small subunit ribosomal RNA", at positions 1470 to 1796 of the family's 1831-position model. The record is from RNAcentral.